GAUGAAGAACGUAGCGAAAUGCGAUAAGUAAUGUGAAUUGCAGAAUUCAGUGAAUCAUCGAAUCUUUGAACGCACCUUGCACCCUUUGGUAUUCCGAAGGGUAUGCUCGUUUGAGUGUCAUUGUACUCUCACACUUCUAAUUCCUUUCGGGAUUGGGAGCGGUGGACUUGGGUGUUGCUGCUUUAGUUGUGGCUCACCUCAAAUAAGUUAGUGCAACUCUUGGUUGGACAUAGUACGGCGUGAUAAGUGUCUUCGCCGGCGCCUCUGUAAGGAGGGUGGCCGAUCGGGAGCUCUGUGCUUCAAACCGUCUUCGGACAAUCUUUGACAACUUGACCUCAAAUCAAGUAGGACUACCCGCUGAACUUAAGCAUAUCAAUAAGCGGAGGA
Molecule: unclassified non-coding RNA, 387 nt
Filed under: soil metagenome
Description: partial contains 5.8S ribosomal RNA, internal transcribed spacer 2, and large subunit ribosomal RNA
Rfam family: 5.8S ribosomal RNA (bases 1-120)
Source: RNAcentral